RNAcentral lists this ribosomal RNA (250 nucleotides) under uncultured bacterium. Its description in RNAcentral is "partial 16S ribosomal RNA". It matches the Rfam family "Bacterial small subunit ribosomal RNA", at positions 524 to 773 of the family's 1533-position model. The record is from RNAcentral.
UACAGAGGGUGCAAGCGUUGUUCGGAAUUAUUGGGCGUAAAGCGCGUGUAGGCGGUGGCGUAUGUCGGGUGUGAAAGCCCUCGGCUCAACCGAGGAAGUGCGCCCGAAACUACGUCGCUAGAGUGCCGGAGAGGGUGGCGGAAUUCCGGGUGUAGAGGUGAAAUUCGUAGAUAUCCGGAGGAACACCAGUGGCGAAGGCGGCCACCUGGACGGACACUGACGCUGAGACGCGAAAGCGUGGGGAGCAAAC